UACGUAGGGUGCAAGCGUUGUCCGGAAUUAUUGGGCGUAAAGAGCUCGUAGGCGGUUUGUCGCGUCUGCUGUGAAAUCUGGGGGCUCAACCCCCAGCCUGCAGUGGGUACGGGGCAGACUAGAGUGCGGUAGGGGAGAUUGGAAUUCCUGGUGUAGCGGUGGAAUGCGCAGAUAUCAGGAGGAACACCGAUGGCGAAGGCAGAUCUCUGGGCCGUAACUGACGCUGAGGAGCGAAAGCAUGGGGAAGCGAACAGG
RNAcentral lists this ribosomal RNA (255 nucleotides) under uncultured bacterium. Its description in RNAcentral is "partial 16S ribosomal RNA". It matches the Rfam family "Bacterial small subunit ribosomal RNA", at positions 524 to 776 of the family's 1533-position model. The record is from RNAcentral.